AUGGCCGUGAGCGACGAGUGCAAGCUCAAGUUCCAGGAGCUCAAGGCGAAGCGGAGCUUCCGGUUCAUCACGUUCAAGAUCAACGAGCAGACGCAGCAGGUGGUGGUGGACCGGGUGGGGCAGCCGGGCGAGACCUACGCCGACUUCACCGCCACCAUCCCCGCCGACGAGUGCCGCUACGCCGUCUUCGACUUCGACUUCGUCACCGACGAGAACUGCCAGAAGAGCAAGAUCUUCUUCAUCUCCUGGUCCCCGGACACGUCCAGGGUGAGGAGCAAGAUGCUGUACGCGAGCUCCAAGGACAGGUUCAAGAGGGAGCUGGACGGCUACCAGGUGGAGCUGCAGGCCACCGAACCCAGCGAGAUGACGUUGGACAUCGUCAAGGCCAGAGCCCUCUGA
Molecule: ribosomal RNA, 399 nt
Filed under: Triticum aestivum (bread wheat)
Lineage: Eukaryota; Viridiplantae; Streptophyta; Magnoliopsida; Poales; Poaceae
Description: partial small subunit ribosomal RNA
Source: RNAcentral